This 510-nucleotide ribosomal RNA is filed under the name uncultured bacterium. RNAcentral's name for it is "partial 16S ribosomal RNA". It matches the Rfam family "Bacterial small subunit ribosomal RNA", at positions 28 to 507 of the family's 1533-position model. The record is from RNAcentral.
GACGAACGCUGGCGGCGUGCUUAACACAUGCAAGUCGAACGAAGAGCGACGGAAGCUUGCUUCUAUCAAUCUUAGUGGCGAACGGGUGAGUAACGCGUAAUCAACCUGCCCUUCAGAGGGGGACAACAGUUGGAAACGACUGCUAAUACCGCAUACGAUCUAACCUCGGCAUCGAGGAUAGAUGAAAGGUGGCCUCUACAUGUAAGCUAUCACUGAAGGAGGGGAUUGCGUCUGAUUAGCUAGUUGGAGGGGUAACGGCCCACCAAGGCGAUGAUCAGUAGCCGGUCUGAGAGGAUGAACGGCCACAUUGGGACUGAGACACGGCCCAGACUCCUACGGGAGGCAGCAGUGGGGAAUCUUCCGCAAUGGACGAAAGUCUGACGGAGCAACGCCGCGUGAGUGAUGACGGCCUUCGGGUUGUAAAGCUCUGUUAAUCGGGACGAAAGGCCUUCUUGCGAAUAGUGAGAAGGAUUGACAGUACCGGAAUAGAAAGCCACGGCUAACUACGUG